Long non-coding RNA from Gopherus flavomarginatus (Mexican gopher tortoise), 2296 nucleotides. RefSeq lists it as uncharacterized. The record is from RefSeq and is a predicted model, not a curated record. NCBI's taxonomy places the organism in Eukaryota, Metazoa, Chordata, Testudines, Testudinidae. The transcript has 3 exons.
CCGAAGGGCUGGCGACUCGGACAUGCGAAGGACAUCUUCUCUGACGUGGGUGGUGAAAGUCGCGCGCCGACUAGGGCAUAAGGGGGCCCUGGGUAGGAGGCGCGUUCCGAACGUUCGGGGCUAUACAAGCGACCCGCUGGGGCGCGGCCCUGAGAAGAGGGGGCCGCUAAGGGCGCGCGCCCGCCGGAGGAAAGGAAUCUUCCCGCGCAAACCCCCAAAGAGCGAGUCUCUGGUGCCGCAUUUCAGAUAUUCCUGAUGAGUCUGAGAUUCCAUAGAACACUAGCAAAAAUAACAGAGAAACCUUCAAGACCACUUUCUUUAAGAUAGACCACCUGGUAUGAGAGGAGACCACGUUUUGUCAUCUGGUCCCUAAUAUAUUCUUGUUUUUAUUUUUGAAAAUGUAAAUACAGUGUUUUAGAGAGACCAUUUGUAUGAGAGGUCACUGUUAUCUGGUCCCCGUGGGUGGCCUGUGUGGAUAUAUUUCUUUGCACUGAAAAUUAACAUGUCAGUAAAAAGCACCAGUUUGCUAAUGAACUGGGGAAAAACAGGGCAAAAAUGUCCUUAGGAACUUUGGGGUGGGAACUAUUUAUAAUCCUUAUAUUCCAAAGUCCCACGGAAAGUACUCCUAAAAGAAAACACAAUGAAAUAAAAAAGAGCAAAUGUAUUGCCAUAAUAAUAUUAAUAACAGAAAGAAAAGUGAUAUUAACAUUAUCAAACUAUAAAUAUAACUUUUUUCAUUAAAAACAAAAGGCACACCGCCUGCAGUUCUGGUCAGGUUCUUACACCCCGAAAAGUGAAAACUACAAAUAAAAGAAAUUAACCCCUUCAUUAACCUGAAGAUAUUUCUCUCCUUUGCUAAUACAUUUAUUGCACAAUCUGUGUGACUGAUAUACUUCUUAAGGAAAUUUGCAUCACAUAUUCUUUAAAUGAUAUUUCCUGUCCCCUUCAUCCUUGAAUUAUUUUGGAAGUAGACUUUCUCUGUAAAGGUUCUGCAUAAGGAUGAGAAGAGGUGGAUACUGUAUAAGAUCUCAUAGUCAAUAUGACCUAUCAUUUGUUUAAAGCUUUUGCUGCCUGAUAAAGGUUCUUCAUCAGGGUGGAUUUAAUGCACUGGGACUGCCUAGAGGCAAAUUAGGAUAAUCACAAGUGUGCCUUUCCUGUGGGCAUUCCAGUAUUCCAUACAAUUUCCCCUACAAUGACAAACGUUGACAGGUUUGUGUUCUCAUUAGUUUUUUCAGGACCUGCUCUCUGUUCAGACUAAUAUUGCCAUACUUGGUACAUCCCUGUUUAUGAAGUUAUCCUGAGACAUAGCAGCUAGAGUUCGGACCAGAGCGGGAAGCAUCUUCUUCUGCCCUUCAAAUUACAAUAAAUCUGUGUAAAACCCCUUAAUAUCUUGUAACUGUUAGAAAUUGCACCACUGUGAUCCUUCCAUUCAAUCUUGGAAUACUUCUGUUGAAAUGUACCCACAGACAAGUUUACUUAAGCACUUUAUCAAGACAUCAGAAACAUUUCUGGAAAUCUAAAGACAUCAUUCACAUUAUUUUGUUCUGGUGUGUAGUGCCAACUAAUUCUUCCAAUUUACAUCAUGAAAGACUGAAACUGAAUGGAACUCCAGUAUCCAAAGCCACUGCUUCAUGAAAACAGACUUUCAUCAAACAGCAGAAUUUUUGUCUAUUAUGCCAGGAUAUAAUGUGACUGUACUAACAAGAUAGAAGUUUUGUUUGUGUGUGUGCAAAAGAUUCAUUAAUGUAUAGCUUGUGGAGAGAAUAAAAGGUUAUGAAAGGAUUAAAGAUGGAAUCAUCAAAGGGAAUAGACGGAAGUUUGUCGUCUCGUAACCAGGAAAGGUAGCAAAGCUUUUACCAUGUCCUCUUACAGCUGCUCCCCAAAAUGAAUAUACAAAUUUUUCUUUAAAGAGAUGAUUGUUCAAGAGAGAGAGAGUUUCCUUCUUGUACUGAGAUAGUCCCACAGAAUUAUUGUCUGUAUCUAUGUUACACUUACUUAACGUAUUGGCUGCUAGAAAAGAAACCUAAUUCUUCAUGUGAAGAGUCUGAUGAUGAAAAUAGAAUUUGGGAAAAUGACCAAAAAAAAAAUGUAAUUUUCUAGUUCUGCUGCUGGCCUCUGGAAGGAAGGGACAAAAAAAAACAAAGCAAAAAUGGUUGGUAUGCCCAUCUCCAGUAGCCACACCACGCAUGCUGGUCAAGGACAAUACUCUGGUGUGCAUGACUGAAGAAUUCCUUCAAACUCUUGGAUGGUAAUUUGCAAACAUCUUCAGCAAAUCUUCAGGAAGGAUGUUCUUCUC